Molecule: non-coding RNA, 2880 nt
Organism: Peromyscus maniculatus bairdii (prairie deer mouse)
Lineage: Eukaryota; Metazoa; Chordata; Mammalia; Rodentia; Cricetidae
Source: RefSeq, a predicted model, not a curated record
CAGGCAGGGAAGCUGAACCAAGAGCCGUAUCUAACUCAGAGGCUGAAUGGGUGACACACAAGGAAAGAGAGACCAAGGGAUAGAGCCAACAGGAUCAUGUGACCCAAGUCCAAAGGCCUGGGCCAGCAGGGGCCAAAUCACAGCGAGCAUUUGCCAGGGACAGCUGCUCUUGCCACCAGAGCCCCGAGGAGAGACACGAAUGCUGUGUGAGAAAGUGUUUCGGCGCUCUGCAUUGUCUUGUUGGACUGUGAAAAGUCAGCCCUGUAAAUCUAUGGCACCAAGAAUUUUUGAUGAACGCAGAAGGUAUGACAAAUUAAAUGAUUGGACAGAUAACUGAAGUUUCGUCUCCAGUCCCAGACCCCUUCUUAGAGUAUUUUGCCUGCAUGUCUGUAUGUGCACCAUGUGUGUGCCUGGUGCCUGAAGAUGUCAGAAGAUACCAGAUCCCCUGGAACUGGAGUCACGGUCAGUUGGGAGCCGCCAUGUGGGUUCUGGGAACCUGAGUCCUUCACAGGAAUAGCCCCUGCUUCAAACCAUUGGACCCUCUCUCCAGCCCCAGCAAGAUUAGCCAGUCACAUAAGAUGAUGAAGUCCAGUUGACACCAACCAGAGGAGACCAAGUGCCACCCACAGCUCAGGGAUGAAAGAGACCGUUUCAGCAAAAUGCUCACAGAUCUUCCCAAGGGAACCGAUUCACAGUCUCCUACAGACUCCCAGCACUGCCAAGACUGAUAAGCGCCGCAGCAAAGCUUUGCCACAUCUUGUUAGAGCCAGCUGCAAGGUAGGUCUCUAUGAAUGCAGAAACAGAGAGACCUUUGAAGUGCAAAUUCCGAGCGACUGAAGAAGGGUCGUGGUUAUGUAAAAGGAGGUUUCCUCCCAGCCCCUGCUCGGAGGUAAACUCAGGGCGUUUCAAGUCACAUGCAGAAGAGUCAAAUGGUAGCCGUGGAAUUGCCUGACAGGAUAAAAUGCAUCUGAGAGGAAAGGAUUCCUUUCCCCUCUAUGGCUCUUCCUGCUUAGAUGUUGGCCUCCCCUUCUCUGCUGCUUGCAAGCUCCGAGUCCUGGCUCGCCAGCACAGUGCCCAACCCCACCGGUCUCUAACCACAUGGAAACCUUAGAGACUCGAUCUUCCCCAAUCAAAGGAGUCCUCCUUCCAUACUACUCUCCUCUUUAGUUACAAAACCAGAAUCUGCCUAUUUUGGAAAGGGCCAAGCACCUAGGUGUUGGUUUUUAGCGGCGCUCUUAUCCUGGGAGGAAAAGUCACGGAACACGACAGAAUCCACUGACAAGAGUUUUAUUAAGAUGAGGAGGGAAGGACGGAUGUGAUCACGCCUGCUGAAAGGACACGCGUGUGAAGGGGGCCGGGGAACAUGGGGGCCGGAUUUUUUAAAGGCCAAGCCACACCUGCUCACACAGGCCCACGUGGCAACUCCACGCAUGUGCAUGGAUCACUGUGGUUACGCCGCGUGCUUUACGCAACCACGCAGCCACGGGGUCAUGGGUCACGCAGGAUGUAUGACCCAGAAAUGACUAAGUGUCCCGCCGGGCAUGCGCAACCGUGGGGGCGGUGGGAAUUCCUAUCACUGGGAAAGCAGGGAAUGUAAACCUAAGAGCUGGGAAAGACGAGAACACAAGUUCUUUGGUUUUAGCCCGGUGAAACUCGUUUGGACACUUGGCCUCCCGAACUAGAAGAGUGCAAGGGAGCCCAUGUAUAUUAUUUUAGGCCACCAAGUUUGUGACAGCAGCCACAGGGACCUAAAUCAGGUUUCCCAUCUUUUAUUAGUAGAAUUCAAGUAUUUUAUUAUCUCCUAGUUUCUGACAAGAGCACUUGGCUCCAAUCUAGCCUGGCUUCAGUGUCGCAGACAUGAUGGGUUUUCCUGUGUUCCAAGACCCUUAAUGGCUCGCUCUCUCUCUCUCUCUUUCUCUCUCUCUCUCUCUCUCUCUCUCUCUCUCUCUCUCUCUCUCUCUCUCUCUCUCCCUCUCUCCUCAAGCUCACUUAAUACAUGUAGCUGAAGCUGGUCUUUAACUGCUCCUCUGGCCUCUGCCUCCCUAAUACUAGGAUCACAAGCACAUGUCUCCAUCCCUCAGCUUGACUUGCAUUUCUUGAAAAUAAAACCCACAUUCUUUAGCUCAGAGGCCCAGCAUGUACUCAGCCAAAUGCCCAUUUUCAGCCACACACUACGUGUAUGAACCCUACAACCCUGUAUGCAUGGAUGGCUUAUCACCAUUCCUGGCUUUCUGUGUAUGAGGUGACUGCUUCAGUCCAUCUCUAUGCAGAUGGCACUUGAAGGUGCAGCUCAAGCGCUAGCUUUUCCAGCGAGACCUCCCUGUUCUCAGCCCAGGCCCAGUGAAACGUCAUUUGGCUUCUUUGCACUUGUACAGCGUCUCUCCUAUGGCACAUGUCUGUUUUACCCCGUGUCUGACUUAUAUUUUUGCCUAUUAGGUUUGUAGCACUUAAAUAUUUUUGAAUGAUUUGCUCAUUGAGCAGCUGAGUGAAGUGAAAUCUGGACUGUGUACUACAGCGAGGUCUCCUUGUGACUGCUGACAGCAUCCGUGGGUGCCAAUGACUGAACAAAAAUUAGCCUUUGGGGAAGAGGACAGGGCAAAUGAACCAGGCAUUGUUUCAGCUUCCAGUUUUUCAUGUCUUGUCCCUACAGUACUUCGAUGGAUGCUGAGAGACUCAGGAGUAAAUAUGGGUAACUAAAGAGAAAAGGGCUUGGGAAUAUCAGAUGACCUCAGACUCAAAUGUGGCUCUAGUUCGAUUCUGUUGUUGAAAAUGCUGAUGCCGAGCUGGAGAGAUGGCUCAGAGGUUAAGAGCACUGGCUGCUCUUCCAGAGGUCCUGAGUUCAAUUCCCAGCAACCACGUGGUGGCUCACAACCAUCUGUA